Molecule: ribosomal RNA, 657 nt
Filed under: uncultured bacterium
Lineage: Bacteria
Description: bacterial SSU rRNA
Rfam family: Bacterial small subunit ribosomal RNA
Source: RNAcentral
CUAGGUGUGAGCGGUAUUCCACGCCGUUCGUGCCGCAGCUAACGCAUUAAGCACCCCGCCUGGGGAGUACGGCCGCAAGGCUAAAACUCAAAGGAAUUGACGGGGGCCCGCACAAGCAGCGGAGCAUGUGGCUUAAUUCGACGCAACGCGAAGAACCUUACCAAGGCUUGACAUGCAGGGAAAUCCUCCAGAGAUGGGGGGUCCGCAAGGGUCCUGCACAGGUGGUGCAUGGUUGUCGUCAGCUCGUGUCGUGAGAUGUUGGGUUAAGUCCCGCAACGAGCGCAACCCUCGUUCUAUGUUGCCAGCGCGUGAUGGCGGGGACUCAUAGGAGACUGCCGGGGUCAACUCGGAGGAAGGUGGGGAUGACGUCAAAUCAUCAUGCCCCUUAUGUCUUGGGCUGCACACAUGCUACAAUGGCCGGUACAAAGGGCUGCUAAACCGCGAGGUGGAGCGAAUCCCAAAAAGCCGGUCUCAGUUCGGAUUGGGGUCUGCAACUCGACCCCAUGAAGUCGGAGUUGCUAGUAAUCGCAGAUCAGCAACGCUGCGGUGAAUACGUUCCCGGGCCUUGUACACACCGCCCGUCACGUCACGAAAGUCGGUAACACCCGAAGCCAGUGGCCCAACCCGCAAGGGGGGGAGCUGUCGAAGGUGGGGCUG